This 858-nucleotide ribosomal RNA is filed under the name Thyrostroma jaczewskii. RNAcentral describes it as "partial large subunit ribosomal RNA". It matches the Rfam family "Eukaryotic large subunit ribosomal RNA", at positions 66 to 941 of the family's 3401-position model. The record is from RNAcentral. Lineage: Eukaryota; Fungi; Ascomycota; Dothideomycetes.
CAACAGGGAUUGCCCUAGUAACGGCGAGUGAAGCGGCAACAGCUCAAAUUUGAAAUCUGGCCUCUUUUGGGGUCCGAGUUGUAAUUUGCAGAGGGCGCUUUGGCGUUGGCAGCGGUCCAAGUUCCUUGGAACAGGACGUCACAGAGGGUGAGAAUCCCGUACGUGGUCGCUGGCCUUCGCCGUGUAAAGCCCCUUCGACGAGUCGAGUUGUUUGGGAAUGCAGCUCUAAAUGGGAGGUAAAUUUCUUCUAAAGCUAAAUACUGGCCAGAGACCGAUAGCGCACAAGUAGAGUGAUCGAAAGAUGAAAAGCACUUUGGAAAGAGAGUCAAACAGCACGUGAAAUUGUUGAAAGGGAAGCGCUUGCAGCCAGACUUGCCUGUAGUUGCUCAUCCGGGCUUUUGCCCGGUGCACUCUUCUAUAGGCAGGCCAGCAUCAGUUUGGGCGGUUAGAUAAAGGUCUCUGUCAUGUAACUCUCUUCGGGGAGAACUUAUAGGGGAGGCGACAUGUAACCAGCCCAGAUUGAGGUCCGCGCAUUUGCUAGGAUGCUGGCGUAAUGGCUGUAAGCGGCCCGUCUUGAAACACGGACCAAGGAGUCUAACAUCUAUGCGAGUGUUUGGGUGUCAAGCCCGAGCGCGCAAUGAAAGUGAACGGAGGUGGGAACCCCUCGGGGUGCACCAUCGACCGAUCCUGAUGUCUUCGGAUGGAUUUGAGUAAGAGCAUAGCUGUUGGGACCCGAAAGAUGGUGAACUAUGCUUGAAUAGGGUGAAGCCAGAGGAAACUCUGGUGGAGGCUCGCAGCGGUUCUGACGUGCAAAUCGAUCGUCAAAUUUGGGCAUAGGGGCGAAAGACUAAUCGAACU